This 77-nucleotide transfer RNA is filed under the name Candidatus Cloacimonadota bacterium. Its description in RNAcentral is "tRNA-Met". It matches the Rfam family "tRNA". Rfam says of the family: Transfer RNA (tRNA) molecules are approximately 80 nucleotides in length. RNAcentral also lists the same sequence under 2 other names. Lineage: Bacteria; Pseudomonadati; Candidatus Cloacimonadota. The record is from RNAcentral.
CGCGAGGUGGAGCAGCCAGGUAGCUCGUCGGGCUCAUAACCCGAAGGUCAGAGGUUCGAAUCCUCUCCUCGCUACCA